Molecule: non-coding RNA, 21 nt
Filed under: Arabidopsis thaliana (thale cress)
Lineage: Eukaryota; Viridiplantae; Streptophyta; Magnoliopsida; Brassicales; Brassicaceae
Source: RNAcentral
UGGGCGGGUUUAUUUUGGGUU